AUGCCGUCAUGAUCGCAGCCUGAUGCAGCCAUGCCGCGUGAGUGAUGACGGCCCUAGGGUUGUAAAGCUCUUUCAACAGGGAAGAUAAUGACGGUACCUGCAGAAGAAGGUCCGGCUAACUUCGUGCCAGCAGCCGCGGUGAUACGAAGGGGGCUAGCGUUGUUCGGAAUUACUGGGCGUAAAGCGCGGUAGGCGGAUUGUUAAGUUAGGGGUGAAAUCCCGAGGCUCAACCUCGGAACUGCCUUUGAUACUGGCAAUCUAGAGUUCGAGAGAGGUGAGUGGAAUUCCCAGUGGAGAGGUGAAAUUCCUAGAUAUUCGGAAGAACACCAGUGGCGAAAGGGGCUCACUGGCUCGAUACUGACGCUUAAGUGCCAAAGCGUGGGGAGCAAACAGGAUUAGAUACCCUGGUAGUCCACCCCGUAAACGAUGGGGGCUAGCCGGUGGGUCUCUUACAACUUGAUGGCGCAGUUAACUCAUUAAGCUUCCCGCCUGGGGAGUACGGUCGCCAGAUUAAAACUCAAAGGAAUUGACGGCGG
This 536-nucleotide ribosomal RNA is filed under the name uncultured Alphaproteobacteria bacterium. RNAcentral describes it as "bacterial SSU rRNA". It matches the Rfam family "Bacterial small subunit ribosomal RNA", at positions 359 to 919 of the family's 1533-position model. The record is from RNAcentral. Lineage: Bacteria; Pseudomonadati; Pseudomonadota; Alphaproteobacteria.